GUCUAAUUGAAAUCUUAUACAUUGUAUAUAUCUAAACAUUACAUAGUAGUUUAUAUACAUAGUUUCUGUUUGUAAAAGUAUCAGUUAAAAGACAAAUGUAAUGACUUUUAUGUAUGAGUUAAAAAUAAAUGUACAUAGUAGGAAAGAAAGUCUAGCUCAGGUCCAAUAGGUGUAAACUUUAAGGACACCAUGUUAAGGGAAAUGAGCCAAGCAGAAAAUGGCAGACACUGUUUGAGUCUACUUGACGGGCAGAGAAAUGUCAUAUUCAUCCAGACAGAGGUGAAAUGGUGGCUGCUUGGGGCUGGGGAGGAAUUAAUAGUUAUGACUGAAUGGAUAAGAUGAAAUGUUCUGCAGGGAUGGGAGCAACUUCCACACAGCAUGAAGAAGGCAUUUUUACCCACUAACCUCCCAGAUGGAAAUGACUCAGAUGGUCAUUCUGAAUGGAUAAAGAAAAUGUGGUACAGCUACACAAUGGAAUUCUAUUCAGCUAUUAAAAACAAAGACAUCGUGAAUUUUGCAGGCAAAUGGAUGGACCUUGAAAAUAUCAUCCUGAGUGAGGACCACAGGUGACCAUGGGUAACUUGAAACCACGGACUGAGAACUACAGAGGAGCAUCCAUUCCCACUGCAAGGCUGUAACCGGACGUUAACAUGCUCAGUGGAGCUGCAGACUGAUAUGUUCACCAGCAACGAGGCCGACACAGCCAGCAUCACUGACAGUUAUCACCACGAAGCCGGGUAUGGUUGUAGAUGUUUGCAAUCCCCGGCCUGGAGGUGGAGACAAGUGGGUCCCUCCAGCUUGUGAGUUAGCCGGUGUAACCCAGUCCUAGCCAGCAAGCUCUGAGCCAGGGGACCCCAUCUAGAGUGGAGUGAGCAACUCCUAAGAUAUGAUACUCCGGCCUCCGUACAAAUGGAAAGGAACAUGCAUGCACCUGUGAACACGCACAUAUCCUUACACACAUACGCACCUGCACUGCACUUCCUACUCGUGUCUGAUGCUCAGCCUCUGACCCAGCAAAGCGGGGUUGUGUUGUGCAAGCACGCCAGAGGCUACUGAGAACACAGUUGUGACACUGCACUCCACCCCUGCCUUUGAGAGCGGGACGUAGCAACUGCUCCAGAGUUCCCGAAGUCCACGGUCAGCUUGUGCACAGGAAUUAGAAUCCAUCUUGCUCCUUGUACAACUGACAAGGGGCAACAGCACAUCGCACAUGUUGCUCCAGAGGAGGCUGCAUCCAUAGAGAUGUCACAGCAUCUAAAUGGAGUUCAGACCCCUUAUCUAAACGCUCGCCGUCCCAGAAGUUGGUACAGCCUUUUGAGUGUUUCAGAUUUGGGAAUAUUUGCUGAGGUUUACCUUGUGGUUAUGACCCAAGUUUAAAUGAAAAAGCCAUCCUCUGUAUGGGACUACACGAACUCUAGAAACACUCUUCUCUGCAUAUAGUUCUAUUUGGUAUUUAGAAGACUUUUGUGUAUGACGUGAGAUUUCCAUACAGGAAGAGAGCAGGAAUUUUCCACUUGCAACAAACAUCGUGUUACUCCGAAAGUUUCAGGUUUUGAACCAUUCGGAAGAGGGAUGCUCAGCCUAUAGGUUGAUCUCAUUGUCUUGAAAGAAUAUUAAAAAUAAUAAGUUCAUAUAUAUUCAUAUAAAACAUGGGUUUGAAAACUCCCAUAGAGGAAAAAAAAAAGGAAGGUUACAUACACAAGCUGACGAUAUCUGCCUAUGCAGGGGUUAAAUGGGGACAAGGGGGAAGUUUUCUUGGCUAUUUAUUUCUACACUUCUAAUUUUUAUAAUUAUUGCAUAUUAGUUUCGUAACCAGAAAAAGUAAGAGGAGAGAAAAAAAACCUGCUUGUACAAAAUGAAAG
Non-coding RNA from Rattus norvegicus (Norway rat), 1862 nucleotides. NCBI's taxonomy places the organism in Eukaryota, Metazoa, Chordata, Mammalia, Rodentia, Muridae. The record is from RefSeq and is a predicted model, not a curated record.